RNAcentral lists this ribosomal RNA (253 nucleotides) under uncultured bacterium. RNAcentral's name for it is "partial 16S ribosomal RNA". It matches the Rfam family "Bacterial small subunit ribosomal RNA", at positions 524 to 776 of the family's 1533-position model. The record is from RNAcentral.
UACGUAGGCAGCGAGCGUUGUUCGGAGUUACUGGGCGUAAAGGGUGUGUAGGCGGUUGUUUAAGUUUGGUGUGAAAUCUCCCGGCUCAACUGGGAGGGUGCGCCGAAUACUGAAUGACUAGAGUGCGGGAGAGGUGAGUGGAAUUCCUGGUGUAGCGGUGAAAUGCGUAGAUAUCGGGAAGAACACCCGUGGCGAAGGCGGCUCUCUGGGACGGUACUGACGCUGAGACGCGAAAGCGUGGGGAGCAAACAGG